RNAcentral lists this ribosomal RNA (875 nucleotides) under Astrosphaeriella trochus. Its description in RNAcentral is "Xenoastrosphaeriella sp. HBJ-2020a partial large subunit ribosomal RNA". It matches the Rfam family "Eukaryotic large subunit ribosomal RNA", at positions 50 to 941 of the family's 3401-position model. The record is from RNAcentral. Lineage: Eukaryota; Fungi; Ascomycota; Dothideomycetes; Pleosporales; Astrosphaeriellaceae.
GCGGAGGAAAAGAAACCAACAGGGAUUGCCCUAGUAACGGCGAGUGAAGCGGCAACAGCUCAAAUUUGAAAUCUGGCUCCCCACCACGGGACCCGAGUUGUAAUUUGCAGAGGGUGCUUCGGCGCUGGCCCCGGCCUAAGUUCCUUGGAACAGGGCGUCACAGAGGGUGAGAAUCCCGUACGUGGCCGGUGGCCUCCGCCUUGUGAAGCCCCUUCGACGAGUCGAGUUGUUUGGGAAUGCAGCUCUAAAUGGGAGGUAAAUUUCUUCUAAAGCUAAAUAUUGGCCAGAGACCGAUAGCGCACAAGUAGAGUGAUCGAAAGAUGAAAAGCACUUUGGAAAGAGAGUCAAAAAGCACGUGAAAUUGUUGAAAGGGAAGCGCUUGCAGCCAGACGCGCCCGCAGUUGCUCAUCCAGGCUCACGCCUGGUGCACUCUUCUGCGGGCGGGCCAGCAUCGGUUCGGGCGGCUGGACAAAGGCCCCGGGAAUGUGGCUCUCUCCGGGGAGUGUUAUAGCCCGGGGCGGCAUGCAGCCAGCCUGGACCGAGGACCGCGCUUCGGCGAGGAUGCUGGCGUAAUGGCCGCAAGCGGCCCGUCUUGAAACACGGACCAAGGAGUCUAACAUCUAUGCGAGUGUUUGGGUGUCAAGCCCGGGCGCGGAAUGAAAGUGAAUGGAGGUGGGAACCCUCGGGUGCACCAUCGACCGAUCCUGAAGUCUUCGGAUGGAUUUGAGUAAGAGCAUAGCUGUUGGGACCCGAAAGAUGGUGAACUAUGCCUGAAUAGGGUGAAGCCAGGGGAAACUCUGGUGGAGGCUCGCAGCGGUUCUGACGUGCAAAUCGAUCGUCAAAUUUGGGCAUAGGGGCGAAAGACUAAUCGAACU